ACUCUUCAAUUAAUGAUUUGAAGGCCCCGAGAUCUUUUUCUCUUUCCCAAGUAUUCUCCUCGCUGCUGCAUCCCAUCCAUUUGACCAAGUACUCCUGAUGAUCUUUUCUAGAAGCCCGAGUGAUUCGAUGGUCAAGAAUAGCUUCAGCAACCUUCUUUCCAGCUUUCUUCAGUUCAAAUACAGGUCGCUUUGGCUCAUUUCUAGAUGCGUCCUCCUUAUCCGAAAAGUAUGGCUUCAACACACUAACAUGAAGGACCUUGUGGAUUUUACACCAUGAAGGGAGUUCAACUCUGUAUGCAACUCUUCCAAUCCUCUUCACAAUGGGUAAUGGUCCAAUGUAUUUUGGUGACAAUCUUGAGUCCUUCCCUCUGGUUGGUUUGUAAACAUUUCUGUCGGGAAGCUUAACCAUUACCAGAUCUCCAACAUUGAAUUCAAUAAAACGGCGCUUUAGAUCUGCAGCCUUUUUAUACCGUUUUUGAGCUUUUUCAAGAUAACUCCGAGCAAUUUCAAUAUUUCGUUUCCACUCUUGAGAAAAGCUCUUUGCUUGAGGGGACUUGGUACUUCGUUCGAUAUCCACUGUAUGAGGGAGUAGCGGUUGCUGGCCAGUAACAAUCUCAAAAGGACUCUUAUUGGUGGAAGAACUCUUUUGGGCAUUGAAGCAAAUUUGGGCCGCAUCCAAAAGUUUUACCCAGUUUUUCUGCGAAGUAGAGAUAAAGUGCCGAAGAUAUUCUUCUAGCAUAGAAUUGAAGCGCUCCGUCUGUCCGUCAGAUUGUGGGUGAAAACUAGAACUCAUGCUCAAAGUUGAACCAAGAAGUUUGAAC
This 821-nucleotide long non-coding RNA is filed under the name Olea europaea subsp. europaea. Lineage: Eukaryota; Viridiplantae; Streptophyta; Magnoliopsida; Lamiales; Oleaceae. The record is from RNAcentral.